CCUACGGGAGGCUGCAGUGGGGAAUAUUGGACAAUGGGGGGAACCCUGAUCCAGCCAUGCCGCGUGUGUGAAGAAGGCCCUCGGGUUGUAAAGCACUUUCAGUGAGGAAGAACGCCUGGUGGUUAAUACCCAUCAGGAAAGACAUCACUCACAGAAGAAGCACCGGCUAACUCCGUGCCAGCAGCCGCGGUAAUACGUAGGGUGCGAGCGUUAAUCGGAAUUACUGGGCGUAAAGCGCGCGUAGGUGGCUUGAUAAGCCGGUUGUGAAAGCCCCGGGCUCAACCUGGGAACGGCAUCCGGAACUGUCAAGCUAGAGUGCAGGAGAGGAAGGUAGAAUUCCCGGUGUAGCGGUGAAAUGCGUAGAGAUCGGGAGGAAUACCAGUGGCGAAGGCGGCCUUCUGGACUGACACUGACACUGAGGUGCGAAAGCGUGGGUAGCAAACAGGAUUAGAUACCCCAGUAGUC
RNAcentral lists this ribosomal RNA (465 nucleotides) under Vreelandella stevensii. RNAcentral describes it as "partial 16S ribosomal RNA". It matches the Rfam family "Bacterial small subunit ribosomal RNA", at positions 338 to 795 of the family's 1533-position model. The record is from RNAcentral. Lineage: Bacteria; Pseudomonadati; Pseudomonadota; Gammaproteobacteria; Oceanospirillales; Halomonadaceae.